Molecule: ribosomal RNA, 3130 nt
Filed under: Bryopsis plumosa
Lineage: Eukaryota; Viridiplantae; Chlorophyta; Ulvophyceae; Bryopsidales; Bryopsidaceae
Description: 23S large subunit ribosomal RNA
Rfam family: Bacterial large subunit ribosomal RNA
Source: RNAcentral
UUUAUUGCGAAAAGGGUUUGGAGAGUUGAGUAAGUGUGGGUUGUUAAAUUUUAACUUCUCUUUUAUACGCUUACGUAUACUUUUAUACACUUGCCUAUGCUAUAGAAAUAUGGUAAUAUGGUAAAUAAUUUCUAUUAUGAGUAGAUUUCUAUUUUGAGAGUUAUUAAAGGGUAUAUAGAAGUAUAGAAUUCGUCGGAUAAGCCCGUUCUCUAAGGUGGAAACACUGUAUUAAAACAGCAUACACCAAAACUCAAUGAACUAAAAGAUUUUAUUAAUUGAAGGAAAAGAAACCAACCGGGAUUGCGCUAGUAGUACAGAGCGAAGGCGCAAAAGCUAAAUUAGAUAUUUUUUGUUUGCAGUUGAACUUAAGUGGAAUCCGGACCAGAGAAAGUGACAGUCUUGUAGAUUGUAAACAAAAUGUGCUGUAAUUAUUUAUUAGUUAUUAAUAUGUCUUAGAAAUGGGAGUCUGUAGUAUAAUAAUGCAAUUAUUAAUUAUUAAUAAUUAAUGAAGCCUAAUAUAAAAAAUUAGUGGUUUAACACUGCUAGUGAUUGACGGAAACCACUCCGUUGGCUAAAUAUUUUAUGUAGAUCGAUAGUGAAUCAGUACUGUAAAGGAAUUUGGAAACAAGAAUGCCAUUGCUUCUCUGAAUACAAGUCCCAAAACAGGUUGCUUAUAAUGACUUUCAGUUUGGCUCUUAUAGUGUUAAAUAGAAAGGUUCCUUUUGAAUCAUGAGCUGAUGACUUUGUGUUAGUUAAAGGCAUAUAUUAAUUGUAAAACAAAAGAACUUUGAAUUAUACAAUUAGUAUAAGUAGCUUAAUUUAUUAAAAGUAAGCUUAUUAUGAAAAUACUUCAUAGAAAACUGACACAAAACGCGAAACGAAGUGAGCUUAAGUAGGCCAGGGGGAAGGUUACCGGAAGGUAGUUGGACGCCCGAAGUGGUAUGCGUUGCAACGCGUUCAUAUGAGCUUAUUUAAGUGGCGAAAUACCAAUCGAACUUCGAAAUAUCUCGUUUUUUGCGAAACCUUUUUAGGAAGGGGGCCUGCAAAAGAUAUGCUAACUAGGUAGAGCGCUGUAAAACUGAUGGGGAGGAAACUUUUACUGAGGUGUUGCAAACCAUAAAUUAGGGGCAUUUUAUCAGGUACUCAGUCAGUGCGGGACAAGCUGCAUUUGACAAGAAGGAAACAGCCUAGACUAUAAAUUAAGGCCCGAAAAUUGCGCUAAGUGAGAAAGUAAUUAACUUCACAAAAAUUAGUAGGACGUUUGAUUAGUAGCAUCUACCGUUUAAAGAAAGCGUAAUAGCUCACUACUAUAGUUUAGUUGUUACGAAAAUUUAGCCGGACUAAGCGCUAUGCCGAAAUUAUAGCUAACUAGACUUUACUACAAUCUUACUUUUGUCUUUGCUAUUGCAACGCCAAAAGCAAAGGACACAGCUUAACCCUUUUGCGGUAAAGCAAAGUAAAGUGAGUUAGAGUAGCAAAACGAACCAUGUUGACAAAGUUACGUCGGUAAGACUUAAUGAAAAUAUUGGUUGUGAAUAUAUCAGCUAGAGUAACAUAUAAAUUGAGUUUAAAUGAAGUGUUUCUAAAGUGUUUAAUCUCUUUAUUAGCCCUUAUUUUCUUUAUUGAAAUAAAAGCAUAGUAUCUCAAUGAUCGGAAAUCCUAGGUUUUCUACACAACUAUUAAAGAUGUAGUUAAAAAAACGGUCCCUAAGUGAUAUGAAGGUUACAAUGGGUGCCUGCUAUGCCCAACAAAAUCUUAUGAAAUUUGUAGAUCUGUUGCAGGAAAAAAUAGCAGGAGAUUAAAUCUUUGAUCAAAGAUAAUGAAUAAAUACCGUACUAAAACUGACUCUGGUGGAUUAGUAGAUUUUACUAAGAUUUGGUUAUAAUCGUUCGUAAGGAACUCGGCAAAUUGCGCUGGUACUUUCGAAAACAGCGGUCUAAAGUAGCCCUUUAGAUCUCAGAUAAGAGAACUGGGUGACAGUUUACUAAAAACUUAGCGUCCUGCCAAUUUGAAACAAGACGUAUAGGAUGUGACGUUUGCUAACGGCCACUAAUUUAAGUGAUUUGUUGUAACAGAUAAAUAAACAAGAUGUGGUGACGAGCGGCCGUAACUAUAACGGUCAUAAAGUAGCGAAAUUCCUAGGCAUUUAAUUGGUGUCCUGCAUGAAUAACGUAACAACCUGGUUGCUGUCUCGCGAGCGAAAACCGUGAAAUAAGAAUAUCGGUCAAAAUACCGAUUAGGCUGUCUUAGACGAUAAGACCCUGUUGAGCUUUACUGCAACCUAACAUUGCGAUCGGUUUUUUAUCUUACAGUUAGGCGGGAGGCCCUCGGGUCAACAAUGGAAAACCGCUAGAUAAUAGAUAGAUCGCUUUAUAUAAGAGUACUUUUUAAUCCAAAAACGUCUCUAUAUAAGACUUUAAUUUUAGUCGUAGGUACGGCUUUAAGUAAAAGGAUGAGUUCUUAUAUAGAAGACUUGAAUUAACAAAGCGCGAAGACAGUGUUUGGUGGGCAGUUUACUUGGGGCGAGGUCUGGCUAAAAAGUAACGCCAGAGAGCAGAAGGUAUGCUCAGUAUUGUCGGAAACAAUAUAUAGAGCGUAAUAGUAUAAGCAUGCCUGAUUAUAAGACUGACAAGUCGAAUAAGGACGAAAGUCUGCUAUAGUGACCCUCACAUGCUAGGUGGAAAGGUGUGAGAUCAACGAAUCAAAGUUACCACAGGGAUAACAGGGUAGUCCUGGCUUAUAGUCCUUAUAGACGCCAGGGUUCGCCACCUCGAUGUUGUUUCAGGUCAUCCUGGAGCUGAACAAGGUUCCAAGGGCGCAACUGUUCUUUGCAUAAUGACCUACGUGAAAUGAGUUUAAACCGCCGUAAGGCAGGUUUGGUUCUAUCUAGACAGCCAUAAUAUUUAACCGAGCAUUAGAAUUCCACUGUACGAAAGGACCCGGAAUUCCACGCCAAUGGUUUAGCAAUUGUUUUGAAAAAAGCAUUGUUGCAACGCUAAGCGUGAAAUGUUAAUUGCUGAAAAACUAUCAAGCAAGAAACAAUUGUAAAGGUUAUAGUAGAUCGCAUUUGCGUAAAUAGGCAGGGGGUGUAAGUGUUGUAAGACAUUGAGCUACCCUGUACUAAUUAUUU